This 253-nucleotide ribosomal RNA is filed under the name uncultured bacterium. Its description in RNAcentral is "partial 16S ribosomal RNA". It matches the Rfam family "Bacterial small subunit ribosomal RNA", at positions 524 to 776 of the family's 1533-position model. The record is from RNAcentral.
UACGUAGGGGGCUAGCGUUGUCCGGAUUUAUUGGGCGUAAAGAGCGUGUAGGCGGCCUGGUAGGUCUGCUGUGAAAACUCGAGGCUCAACCUCGAGAUGUCGGCGGAAACCAUCUGGCUAGAGUCCGGAAGAGGAGAGUGGAAUUCCUGGUGUAGCGGUGAAAUGCGCAGAUAUCAGGAAGAACACCUAUGGCGAAGGCAGCUCUCUGGGACGUAACUGACGCUGAGACGCGAAAGCGUGGGGAGCAAACAGG